RNAcentral lists this ribosomal RNA (542 nucleotides) under uncultured bacterium. RNAcentral describes it as "bacterial SSU rRNA". It matches the Rfam family "Bacterial small subunit ribosomal RNA", at positions 355 to 913 of the family's 1533-position model. The record is from RNAcentral.
UGGGGAAUCUUGGACAAUGGGGGCAACCCUGAUCCAGCCAUGCCGCGUGAGUGAUGAAGGCCUUAGGGUCGUAAAGCUCUUUCGCCUGUGAAGAUAAUGACGGUAGCAGGUAAAGAAACCCCGGCUAACUCCGUGCCAGCAGCCGCGGUAAUACGGAGGGGGUUAGCGUUGUUCGGAAUUACUGGGCGUAAAGCGCACGUAGGCGGACCAGAAAGUUGGGGGUGAAAUCCCGGGGGCUCAACCCCGGAACUGCCUCCAAAACUAUUGGUCUAGAGUUCGAGAGAGGUGAGUGGAAUUCCAAGUGUAGAGGUGAAAUUCGUAGAUAUUUGGAGGAACACCAGUGGCGAAGGCGGCUCACUGGCUCGAUACUGACGCUGAGGUGCGAAAGUGUGGGGAGCAAACAGGAUUAGAUACCCUGGUAGUCCACACCGUAAAACGAUGAAUGCCAGUCGUCGGGUAGCAUGCUAUUCGGUGACACACCUAACGGAUUAAGCAUUCCGCCUGGGGAGUACGGUCGCAAGAUUAAAACUCAAAGGAAUUGA